UACGUAGGGGGCAAGCGUUGUCCGGAUUUAUUGGGCGUAAAGAGCGUGUAGGCGGUUUGGUAGGUCCGCUGUGAAAACUCGAGGCUCAACCUCGAGACGCCGGUGGAAACCAUCAGACUAGAGUCCGGAAGAGGAGAGUGGAAUUCCGUGGUGUAGCGGUGAAAUGCGCAGAUAUCAGGAAGAACACCCGUGGCUAAGGCGGCUCUCUAGUACGGUACUGACGCUGAGACGCGAAAGCGUGGGAGCGAACAGG
This 253-nucleotide ribosomal RNA is filed under the name uncultured bacterium. RNAcentral's name for it is "partial 16S ribosomal RNA". It matches the Rfam family "Bacterial small subunit ribosomal RNA", at positions 524 to 776 of the family's 1533-position model. The record is from RNAcentral.